This 237-nucleotide ribosomal RNA is filed under the name Escherichia coli. RNAcentral's name for it is "partial 23S ribosomal RNA". It matches the Rfam family "Bacterial large subunit ribosomal RNA", at positions 1343 to 1686 of the family's 2925-position model. Lineage: Bacteria; Pseudomonadati; Pseudomonadota; Gammaproteobacteria; Enterobacterales; Enterobacteriaceae. The record is from RNAcentral.
GUCCAAGGGUUCCUGCGUAAAGUUAAUCUUCGCAGGGUUAGCCGGCCCCUAAGGCGAGGCCGAAAGGCGUAGUCGAUGGGAACGGGGCGAAUAUUCCCCGGCCAGUGGAUGGUGACGGAUGCCGUAUAUCGUUCGAGCUUAUCGGAUUGCUCGGGCGGUGAAGGGGUCCCAGGAAAGAGCCUCCACGUAAGACCGUACCCGAAACCGACACAGGUGGACAGGUAGAGUAUACCAAGG